GGAAGUUUAUAUUUCAUAUGAUAAUGGCAAGGUACACAGGAGAGCAGGUAAAAUACAUAUAUUAGAUGAAGAAAUAUGAGCAAUUUUGUGCUCAUACAGAGAAAUAUAACUAGCAUAAAGCUACAUAGCGGACAACAAAAUUUGAGCUAGUGUGAUGAAAACUUCAUUUUUGCAUUCAGUCUUUCCAACCAGCUUGGCGCGCUCUGCGUUCCCAAAGGUUAGUCAACUUCAUUUCCUUGGCAUACAACACAACAGCUCUUUCUCUCCCGACUUCACAAGUUUCCGUUGUAGCAAUGCAUUUCUCAGCCUCCUUUUGGUACUCGGUAGCUAACCUCCUCGCCUCCACAAAGGUGAUGUUCAUAUGAUGGGCGUGCUCCUUGUCAACAGCCUCCUGCAGUUUCAGCUCUUCCGAUAAUAAAUCAACGAACUGUUUCUCCAUCUCCUCCUUAAGGUCCGGAUCAUCUUUUCCGCAGUCUGUGAUUGUAAGAUUCGCCAAGCCAGGAGCAACUUCAAGCAAAGAAAGAGGAGGAGAACAGUCACAUUUACAAGGCAUACAAGAUUGAGCAGCUUUAACUUUAAGUUUCUUGAACUUCCAAUAAAUAGCAGGACCAGAUACACAAAGAGCAGAAACUACAGCAAAAAUUACUAAACAACAUCUUAAGCAAUUCCCAGAUUGCCUUGCCAUGUUUCCUUUUUGCUUUGAGAGCAAAUUGGGAGUGAGAUCUACAAGGCAAAAUGGAUCUACUGUUAUGGGGUUAAUUGGGAUUUUUCAAAUUGUUAAAGAUGUUCAGCUGAAAAUAAGUGCUGAUUAAUUAACUAGUACUGCUACUUUCCAUCUACUUUCUUGAAGGUCUUACAGUAAAUUCCCACUCUGUUUUUUUUCUUUUUUUUGGUUGUCGGUUGUUG
This 906-nucleotide unclassified non-coding RNA is filed under the name Hevea brasiliensis (rubber tree). Lineage: Eukaryota; Viridiplantae; Streptophyta; Magnoliopsida; Malpighiales; Euphorbiaceae. The record is from RNAcentral.